GUAUGGUUUCGAACCAUAAGGGGGACCAUGUGUUGUGAUUCUUGCAUUGUCGGGCGUCGGACUAGAUGACCCCCGGGGUCCCUUUCAACUCUACAAUUCUGUGCCUUUCUGGUUCUAUAAUGGACUCCUUGUUGCACAAGGGGACCUCUCAACGCAUUUUAACCCACUAACACAGCUUCACAAAGGAAUCUUCAAAAGUUACUAGCUCUUUUUACUAGUCAUAAACACAUGAACUGCUCACACAUUAGCAGUGCUGAAAGUCAGCAACAACCUGAAAGGAAAGAACCAUCUUUCAAAGUACAAAAUAUUUCCUUGUCUGGUCACUUUGAAUUUUUUUUUCUUUUAUUUGUGCCACAGGUGCUCAAAAAGAGGGCAAUUUUAAUCCUAAACUAAUGGAUCUCUGAUGACUAUAAAGUAAUAUGCAGGCAGUCUGCAUACAGGGAGGUAGGAAUCACCCAUUUGCCAUGGACUGACCACUUCCUGGUGAAGUUUGGACUCGUAUCAGCUGACCUACCCUGCAAGUGUGAGGGACCAGUUAAGAUGGCCCAUCCUGGAGACUAAUGGAAACGGAUGGAUACCUGAAUGCUCUGGGUGUUCCUACAAUGGAUAGAGUGAGUGAUUCUGCUGAGGAUCCUGUCUCGCUGUGUAAUGGUGGGAUGAUGAGGGCCAUUGACACAAUCCUUCUUAUGAUCGUUCUUUAGCAUAGUGGAGCCCAGGAAGCUCCUGGGUUACUGAAGAGCUGCAGGUGAUGAAACAGUCAAGAAAGGACUGGAGCAGGUGGCAUAAAACUUGAAGCCGGCAGAGCACUUGCUAGGGCACAUAACUGCACCUACCAAGUAGCAGCUGAGGCAACUAGGAAGAGGUUUUUUGCUGCUUCCAUUGCAUACAUACAAACACAUACACACACACACACACACACACACACACACACACAGGAGAAUGAAAUCAUGACAUCCAAAGCACUCAGAUCUCACCCUCUGUCAGAUCUAUGUGGCCUAGAGCUCAGCUUAUAAUUUUCUGUUCACUGGGUCCAUGUUUAUCAUUUUCUGGGGAAUAAUUCAAGAACAAAAAUCAAAGAAAGGCAUUAUUUGAUACUUAGAACCAGUGCUUUUUUCAGGAGC
This 1121-nucleotide long non-coding RNA is filed under the name Podarcis lilfordi (Lilford's wall lizard). Lineage: Eukaryota; Metazoa; Chordata; Lepidosauria; Squamata; Lacertidae. The record is from RNAcentral.